RNAcentral lists this unclassified non-coding RNA (209 nucleotides) under uncultured fungus. RNAcentral's name for it is "sequence contains ITS1". Lineage: Eukaryota; Fungi. The record is from RNAcentral.
GUAAUAAUUACAUUGUUUACUGACGCUGAUUGCAAUUACAAAAAAGGUUUAUGGUUGGGUCCUGGUGGCGGGCGAACCCGCCCAGGAAACAAGAAGUGCGCAAAAGACAUGGGUGAAUAAUUCAGACAAGCUGGAGUCCUCACCGAAAUGAGGUCCCCAACCCGCUUUCAUAUUGUGUAAUGAUCCCUCCGCAGGUUCACCUACGGAGA